GGAAAAAGGAAUCAAUGUGAAAUUGUGCUGCACUGAACCUUUGGAUGAGUCAAGGUCCCAGAGUUUCAAGUGGUGGUUUCAUUCUUUCCAAAAGCAGCUCUGAAGGGAAGCUCCCUGCUCCCAAGGUCUCAGAAUCAAAGUUGCCACUUCGAGAAGCUCGAGUGAUGCUUUCUGUCACAGGCCAGAAAGGAAGUGGAGCUUCUGCUGUGCCUUUUUGUGCAUGAACAUGCAACUGUCUGUAUUUCCUGACUGACACACCUGCAUCAACUCCAGCAUUUCUUCUGUCUUGGUCCAGAAGUCCCUGUGGAUGUCAGGCACUGAACCCAACAGGAUUUGCAUCCUCCUUCCUUCACAGAUCUGAAAAAGUUUUUGAAAUCAGACAAAAGCCUUUCAAACACAAAUGUCCUAGAGGAUCCUUGAUCAGGCUUUCAUGGGUCGCAUUCCACUUCCCCACAAAGCCUUCCCCCCACGAUUUUUGCCCCAUAAUUUUUGAAGAAAUGGUUCAAACCGAGCAGAUACAGCCACCCACGAUGUGCUGGAGAGCUGAGUGCCCAGAGAUCCAGCUGGAUCACAGUGGAACAAAGCUGGAACAAGGAAAGAGAGGCACUGGAGACCUCCAGAGCUGCACAGCUCCUUCCAUCCAUGCCCAGGAAUUCCAGCAUGGAAACGCCAGGGUUGAGCAAGGUGCAGGUGCUGAGCUCUGCUCUGUUGGGUGCUUUGUGCCUCAGGCACUGAAAUGUGAGAAUGAAAAAGGAGCUAAUCAGAAAACAACAAAAAAACAAUCCAAAAAGUUACAGUUUCCAAUGGCACAUAUGGAAGAGAUUAUAGCAGCGUCAUUCUCAUUGCGUUCUUCAAUAAAAAGUAAUUUCUUCUUAUAAACUUAAUAUUCACUGAAAAAGAUUCUGAAGACCUGGCCAGGAAUGUCACAAAGUUUUAGAGGAAGUAUUAAUAAUUUUAUUACAAUCCAUUUUCAAUG
Zonotrichia leucophrys gambelii is the source of this 976-nucleotide long non-coding RNA. RefSeq lists it as uncharacterized. The transcript has 3 exons. Lineage: Eukaryota; Metazoa; Chordata; Aves; Passeriformes; Passerellidae. The record is from RefSeq and is a predicted model, not a curated record.